GCCGGGCGCAGUGGCGCACGCCUGUAGUCCCAGCUACUCGGGAGUCUGAGGCAGGAGGAUCGCUUGAGCCCAGGAGUUCUGGGCUGUAGUGUGCUAUGCUGAUCGGGUGUCCGCACUAAGAUCGGCAUCAAUAUGGUGACCUCCGGGAGAGGGGGGGCCACCAGGUUGCCUAAGGAGGGGUGAACCGGCCCAGGUCGGAAACGGAGCAGGUCAAAACUCCCGUGCUGAUCAGAAAAAUUAAUUCAAAAUUGAUUAAAGACCUAAAUGGAAGACAGGAAACCAU
This 283-nucleotide signal recognition particle RNA is filed under the name Suricata suricatta (meerkat). RNAcentral's name for it is "Metazoan signal recognition particle RNA (ENSSSUG00005023149.1)". It matches the Rfam family "Metazoan signal recognition particle RNA". From Rfam's summary of the family: The signal recognition particle (SRP) is a universally conserved ribonucleoprotein. It is involved in the co-translational targeting of proteins to membranes. The eukaryotic SRP consists of a 300-nucleotide 7S RNA and six proteins: SRPs 72, 68, 54, 19, 14, and 9. The record is from Rfam by way of RNAcentral. Lineage: Eukaryota; Metazoa; Chordata; Mammalia; Carnivora; Herpestidae.